CCGUUGGAUGAUGAAGAAAUCGUCGCCUACAUCUUCAACGGCCUCGACCAGGAGUACAAUCCUGUUGUGACAUCCAUGGUGACGAAGAGAGAACCGAUCACGGUCUCUGAAGCCCACUCGCAGCUGCUCAGCUUCGAGA
Panicum virgatum (switchgrass) is the source of this 139-nucleotide small nucleolar RNA. RefSeq annotates it as small nucleolar RNA Z247. The transcript has a single exon. NCBI's taxonomy places the organism in Eukaryota, Viridiplantae, Streptophyta, Magnoliopsida, Poales, Poaceae. The record is from RefSeq and is a predicted model, not a curated record.